Molecule: ribosomal RNA, 2851 nt
Filed under: Escherichia coli
Lineage: Bacteria; Pseudomonadati; Pseudomonadota; Gammaproteobacteria; Enterobacterales; Enterobacteriaceae
Description: partial 23S ribosomal RNA
Rfam family: Bacterial large subunit ribosomal RNA
Source: RNAcentral
UGCUAAUCUGCGAUAAGCGUCGGUAAGGUGAUAUGAACCGUUAUAACCGGCGAUUUCCGAAUGGGGAAACCCAGUGUGUUUCGACACACUAUCAUUAACUGAAUCCAUAGGUUAAUGAGGCGAACCGGGGGAACUGAAACAUCUAAGUACCCCGAGGAAAAGAAAUCAACCGAGAUUCCCCCAGUAGCGGCGAGCGAACGGGGAGCAGCCCAGAGCCUGAAUCAGUGUGUGUGUUAGUGGAAGCGUCUGGAAAGGCGCGCGAUACAGGGUGACAGCCCCGUACACAAAAAUGCACAUAUUGUGAGCUCGAUGAGUAGGGCGGGACACGUGGUAUCCUGUCUGAAUAUGGGGGGACCAUCCUCCAAGGCUAAAUACUCCUGACUGACCGAUAGUGAACCAGUACCGUGAGGGAAAGGCGAAAAGAACCCCGGCGAGGGGAGUGAAAAAGAACCUGAAACCGUGUACGUACAAGCAGUGGGAGCCUCUUUUAUGGGGUGACUGCGUACCUUUUGUAUAAUGGGUCAGCGACUUAUAUUCUGUAGCAAGGUUAACCGAAUAGGGGAGCCGAAGGGAAACCGAGUCUUAACUGGGCGUUAAGUUGCAGGGUAUAGACCCGAAACCCGGUGAUCUAGCCAUGGGCAGGUUGAAGGUUGGGUAACACUAACUGGAGGACCGAACCGACUAAUGUUGAAAAAUUAGCGGAUGACUUGUGGCUGGGGGUGAAAGGCCAAUCAAACCGGGAGAUAGCUGGUUCUCCCCGAAAGCUAUUUAGGUAGCGCCUCGUGAAUUCAUCUCCGGGGGUAGAGCACUGUUUCGGCAAGGGGGUCAUCCCGACUUACCAACCCGAUGCAAACUGCGAAUACCGGAGAAUGUUAUCACGGGAGACACACGGCGGGUGCUAACGUCCGUCGUGAAGAGGGAAACAACCCAGACCGCCAGCUAAGGUCCCAAAGUCAUGGUUAAGUGGGAAACGAUGUGGGAAGGCCCAGACAGCCAGGAUGUUGGCUUAGAAGCAGCCAUCAUUUAAAGAAAGCGUAAUAGCUCACUGGUCGAGUCGGCCUGCGCGGAAGAUGUAACGGGGCUAAACCAUGCACCGAAGCUGCGGCAGCGACGCUUAUGCGUUGUUGGGUAGGGGAGCGUUCUGUAAGCCUGUGAAGGUGUGCUGUGAGGCAUGCUGGAGGUAUCAGAAGUGCGAAUGCUGACAUAAGUAACGAUAAAGCGGGUGAAAAGCCCGCUCGCCGGAAGACCAAGGGUUCCUGUCCAACGUUAAUCGGGGCAGGGUGAGUCGACCCCUAAGGCGAGGCCGAAAGGCGUAGUCGAUGGGAAACAGGUUAAUAUUCCUGUACUUGGUGUUACUGCGAAGGGGGGACGGAGAAGGCUAUGUUGGCCGGGCGACGGUUGUCCCGGUUUAAGCGUGUAGGCUGGUUUUCCAGGCAAAUCCGGAAAAUCAAGGCUGAGGCGUGAUGACGAGGCACUACGGUGCUGAAGCAACAAAUGCCCUGCUUCCAGGAAAAGCCUCUAAGCAUCAGGUAACAUCAAAUCGUACCCCAAACCGACACAGGUGGUCAGGUAGAGAAUACCAAGGCGCUUGAGAGAACUCGGGUGAAGGAACUAGGCAAAAUGGUGCCGUAACUUCGGGAGAAGGCACGCUGAUAUGUAGGUGAAGUCCCUCGCGGAUGGAGCUGAAAUCAGUCGAAGAUACCAGCUGGCUGCAACUGUUUAUUAAAAACACAGCACUGUGCAAACACGAAAGUGGACGUAUACGGUGUGACGCCUGCCCGGUGCCGGAAGGUUAAUUGAUGGGGUUAGCGCAAGCGAAGCUCUUGAUCGAAGCCCCGGUAAACGGCGGCCGUAACUAUAACGGUCCUAAGGUAGCGAAAUUCCUUGUCGGGUAAGUUCCGACCUGCACGAAUGGCGUAAUGAUGGCCAGGCUGUCUCCACCCGAGACUCAGUGAAAUUGAACUCGCUGUGAAGAUGCAGUGUACCCGCGGCAAGACGGAAAGACCCCGUGAACCUUUACUAUAGCUUGACACUGAACAUUGAGCCUUGAUGUGUAGGAUAGGUGGGAGGCUUAGAAGUGUGGACGCCAGUCUGCAUGGAGCCGACCUUGAAAUACCACCCUUUAAUGUUUGAUGUUCUAACGUGGACCCGUAAUCCGGGUUGCGGACAGUGUCUGGUGGGUAGUUUGACUGGGGCGGUCUCCUCCUAAAGAGUAACGGAGGAGCACGAAGGUUGGCUAAUCCUGGUCGGACAUCAGGAGGUUAGUGCAAUGGCAUAAGCCAGCUUGACUGCGAGCGUGACGGCGCGAGCAGGUGCGAAAGCAGGUCAUAGUGAUCCGGUGGUUCUGAAUGGAAGGGCCAUCGCUCAACGGAUAAAAGGUACUCCGGGGAUAACAGGCUGAUACCGCCCAAGAGUUCAUAUCGACGGCGGUGUUUGGCACCUCGAUGUCGGCUCAUCACAUCCUGGGGCUGAAGUAGGUCCCAAGGGUAUGGCUGUUCGCCAUUUAAAGUGGUACGCGAGCUGGGUUUAGAACGUCGUGAGACAGUUCGGUCCCUAUCUGCCGUGGGCGCUGGAGAACUGAGGGGGGCUGCUCCUAGUACGAGAGGACCGGAGUGGACGCAUCACUGGUGUUCGGGUUGUCAUGCCAAUGGCACUGCCCGGUAGCUAAAUGCGGAAGAGAUAAGUGCUGAAAGCAUCUAAGCACGAAACUUGCCCCGAGAUGAGUUCUCCCUGACCCUUUAAGGGUCCUGAAGGAACGUUGAAGACGACGACGUUGAUAGGCCGGGUGUGUAAGCGCAGCGAUGCGUUGAGCUAACCGGUACUAAUGAACCGUGAGGCUUAACCUUACAAC